UGGGGAAUAUUGCACAAUGGGCGAAAGCCUGAUGCAGCGACGCCGCGUGAGGGAUGGAGGCCUUCGGGUUGUAAACCUCUUUCAGUAAGGGUGAAGGCUCUCUUUUGUGGAGGGUUGACAGUACUUGCAGAAGAAGCGCCGGCUAACUACGUGCCAGCAGCCGCGGUAAUACGUAGGGCGCGAGCGUUGUCCGGAAUUAUUGGGCGUAAAGGGCUUGUAGGUGGCGUGUCGCGUCUGCUGUGAAAUUCCAGGGCUUAACUUUGGGAUUGCAGUGGGUACGGGCAUACUAGAGUGCAGUAGGGGAGAUUGGAAUUCCUGGUGUAGCGGUGAAAUGCGCAGAUAUCAGGAGGAACACCGGUGGCGAAGGCGGGUCUCUGGGCUGUUACUGACGCUGAGGAGCGAAAGCGUGGGGAGCGAACAGG
RNAcentral lists this ribosomal RNA (422 nucleotides) under Verrucomicrobiota bacterium. RNAcentral's name for it is "Verrucomicrobia bacterium partial 16S ribosomal RNA". It matches the Rfam family "Bacterial small subunit ribosomal RNA", at positions 355 to 776 of the family's 1533-position model. The record is from RNAcentral. Lineage: Bacteria; Pseudomonadati; Verrucomicrobiota.